This 497-nucleotide ribosomal RNA is filed under the name uncultured bacterium. Its description in RNAcentral is "partial 16S ribosomal RNA". It matches the Rfam family "Bacterial small subunit ribosomal RNA", at positions 28 to 507 of the family's 1533-position model. The record is from RNAcentral.
GAUGAACGCUGGCGGCGUGCCUAACACAUGCAAGUCGAGCGAACGGACGAGAAGCUUGCUUCUCUGAUGUUAGCGGCGGACGGGUGAGUAACACGUGGAUAACCUACCUAUAAGACUGGGAUAACUACGGGAAACCGGAGCUAAUACCGGAUAAUAUUUUGAACCGCGGGGUUCAAAAGUGAAAGACGGUCUUGCUGGCACUACUAGAUGGAUCCGAGCUGCAUUAGCUAGUUGGUAAGGUAACGGCUUACCAAGGCGAGGAUGCAUAGCCGACGUGAGAGGGGGAUCGGCCACACUGGAACGGAGACACGGUCCAGACUCCUACGGGAGGCAGCAGUAGGGAAUCUUCCGCAAUGGGCGAAAGCCUGACGCAGCAACGCCGCGUGAGUGAUGAAGGUCUUCGGAUCGUAAAGCUCUGUUACUAGGGAAGAACAUAUGUGUAAUUAAAUGUGCAGAUCUUGACGGUACCUGAUCAAAAAGCCCCGGCUAACUACGUG